UUUUAAUGAAGUUUUCACCUACCUAUAUUUUCAGAGAUUUUUCGUUAAUUUUUUUUACAAAUUUUUUAGUAAUGUUUUCAUUAAUUUUAGCGAUGUUCUUACUUAUCAAUGUUUACUCAAUGUUUUUUGGACAAUUUCUGAGUAUUUUAUUCAUAAAUUUUUGACGUUAUUCGCCAAUGUUUUACUGGUUUUCCCAAUAAUUUUUGUGAUGUUGGCACCAACUUGUAGCAAGUUUUCAUUUAUUUUCAGCGAUUUUUCGUCAACUUUUUCAUCAAUUUUUAAGCAGAUUUUUAACGGUGCUUUCAUCAAUGCUUAUAGUGAAUAAAGAUGUUUCGACAAUUUCUGAGUAGGCAUUUUUUCUCUCCAAUUUUCAGUAAUUUUGAUUACUUACUUUGCAAUUUUUUGUCAAUCUUUUGUUAUCAUCAGGGAAGGCAUUCGUUUUAGUAUAGUGUUGGCACCAACUUGUGGCAAUGCUUUCAUCAACUUUUAGUGAUUUAGAUAUCUCUAAUUUUUAAUUAAUUUCUUCAUCAGAUUUUUGUGUAAUGUUUUCAUCAGUUUUUAGUAAUAUUUCCUUAAUACAUACCUACUUAUUUUAAUAAAUGUUUUUCAUCAAUUUUUAGUGAUUUUCCGCCAAAAUCAAAUUUAGGUGAUUUUCAGAAAUUUUUAGUGAUUUUUCGAGAAACCGAUUGGCCUCCCAAUACGGCUGCUGCGAGCUUUCGAGUUCAGCAGAUGCAAAUUGUAGAUGAGUAGAAUAAAUUUGCACCUUAGGUUCUGUAGUUGAAUAGUAGAUUCAUCCAUCAUGGAAUUUACCUCUCAUUUUAUCGGUCAUGUUCUUUCAUCUAGGGAGUCGUGUUAUCCGUUCCGGAAGCUAUAGAAGAUCUAUCAGCCAUGAAAAGACUCUGGGUACACGAGGUGAUGCGAAUCUAUCACGAUAAAGUAGUCGACUUACGAGAUUCAAAUUGGUUCAUGAGUAAUUUGAAAUCAGUCAUCGAUGAACAAUUAAAAGAAAACAUGAACGAUUUACUCAGUCAUCUGUUACAAGAAGACGAAUCCGAAGUAUGGUUUAAUUUAUAGUUAAGACUCGUAAAUUUGUGUUUUUUUGCCUCAUACGUACGAAAAGUAAGAUCUAAUUGGGAUCGCCUCAUUCAGGUGAACCAACUAGUGCUGAGGAGAUUGAUAUUUUGCGACUUUAUCAACCCCAAAGCUGACGUUAGGAAUUACGCCGAAGUCCAAGAUAUGGAAGGGUUGCAAUCUAUCGUCGAGGGGUAUCUGGUCGAGCAUAACAAUGUGAAUAAAAAACCGAUGAAUUUGAUUCUGUUUCCGUACGCUAUCGAGCAUAUUUCCAGAAUAUGUCGUAUAUUGAAGCAGCCUCAAGGGCAUGCUUUAUUACUGGGUAAUUGUGGACUAGGCAAGCAGUCUUUGGCUAGGUUGGCUAUUCAUAUGUGCGAAUAUGAGUUUUUUGAGGUUGGUAUUUUGGCUGAUUUACCUAUUGUUUUGUUAGUGAUGUUUUUGAAAUAUUUUGAUUGAGGAGGUUUCAGGUUGAACUUACAUCUCGUUAUAACGAACUGGAUUGGCGUAAAGAUAUGAAGAGUUUGCUCUGUAGUGUUUAUACCGAUCAGCAUUCUGCUUUUUUACUCAAUAAUAUUCAAAUGAUGCCAGAGUCGAUGCUGGAAGAUGUCAAUAACCUGCUUCAAACAGGCGAAAUACCUGAAAUAUUCACAGCAGAAGAUAUGAAAGAAAUUUACGAGAAAAUGGAGAUCAUCGAUAAUCAACGAGAUAAAUCUUUACAAGUAGAAACCGCAAAAGUCGUUUUUUCUCCCUAAUACUUCGAUUCCAAUGAUCUAAACUUACUCGUAUUUCGAAUUCCCUUCCAAAUAGACCGAUGGCAGCCACGAAGCUCUUUAUAAUCUAUUCCAUCAAAGAGUUCGUAAACAAAUCCACAUAGUGUUGGUUUUCAACGCAUCCAUUUACGAGCUGCGAAAAUACAUCCAUCAAUUCCCCUCAUUCAACAACUGUUGCACUAUUGACUGGUUCCAGGUAUGGAUAUUUCUUUGGCUGAUGUGCCCUGCCCCUUUUACCGCAAUACCGUAGGAAAUAUUGAAUUUCAUGGGUUUUCUAGCCUUGGCCUGAAAGCGCGUUGAAAAUCGUAUCGCAGAAAUUACUCAGCGACGUGAAACUAGACACGACGGAUUUCAAAACGAUUACGAAUUUGUGUGAAAAGUUGCACAAUGAUGCGAAACACGUGGCUCAAGAAGCCGAUGAUCGACUGAAUAUCAAAUUGUAUUUUACUCAGAAAUCGUACAUCAAACUUGUGUCUACGUUUAAGCAUUUAGUGACGACGAAACAAAUGUAAGUACUGGGUUAUUCCCUUUUAAUUGGUUAUUUCUGCUCAAUUGACCAGGUUAUUUUUACUCGUUUGGCCAUAAAAGAAAGGAUGACAGAUGGAUGGGAGUUUACUUACUCGUAUUACAUAUCUCUCAUCGCUCUUAAUUAACAGGGAUCGAUCGUCAAUUGAAUUCAGCUUUCAACUGAAAAUUCUCAUGUAAAAGCACGAUUGUGGGGUUUUUGACACCGUCAGGUUAUAAAAGAAGUUUUUAAAAACAAAAAUGAAGCAAAAAAUAAUUUUUUUAAUAUAUGAAGAGUGAUAUUCCAAAACUCGCUUUGUCCAUUUUUAUCAAAGUUGGGUUUUCAGUGGUAAUACCUGGUAGAUGAAGUAUUAACUCACAUUCCUACAUCAUCAACCUACCAAAAUGAGGUGUUAAACUCACCUAAAUAGCCAAUUCACUAAAAAUUAAAAAAAAAUAAUGUUCCAAAACGCGUUUUGUCCAUUUUUAUUGAAAUUUUUUUCAGCAGUAUUUAGUGGAUGAAAUGUAUACCUACACUCCUACAUCAUAAAUCCACCCAAAUAAAGUGCUAAACUCGCCUAAAAAGCCAAUUUACCCGUUUGAAGGGAAACUGUUUUUCCUCUCUCCUGAAAAGUUGUGAAAAUGGACAAAGCGAGUUUUGGAAUAUCACUCUUCAUAUGUACGUACAUACUACGUACCUACCAAUAGUAAAACAAUGAAUCAAAUGAACGACGCAACGCUCAAGAUACGAAUCAAUUUACCCAUCCUUAAGUUAUAUUAUUCCAUCGAUUAUUAAAAUUGGGAUGUGACAACCAAAUUUUAUUUACUUUAGAAUCGGUAAUUCAAAAAAAAAUCCUUACUCGCGAUUGUGGCGUUUUGACACUGUGAAGUAAUUAACAGUGAACGACGUUUUGAAUUAUUCAAUAAAUAAUGUUCUUUAAAAUUGAAAAUGAAUUGAAAAUGUACGAUUUACAUAUCCCCACGUGAACGUGAACACCCAUUCUAGCAUCAUUAUCUCAGUUUUUGAGAACUGAAGGCUGGAGCCACUCGAGCUCAUAUCCCUCCUUCUUUACGUUCGAGUGCGAGUGCUUCGUGAGAUAUCGUUCUGUUGCUAAUGGAAAGAAAUAAAAAUUGAUACAAGAUCGGUUGAUGCUGCUCACAUGUGAGAAAGGUAUCUUAAACCAGGUAAAAUUUCAAAGACUUGGUGAAAUACUUGUAUUGCUUGGUCAUGUUCUAAAAAUAGACGAAAAAUUCGAAAUUCUAAGGAAUAAGGUAACGAAUCAAAAUUAAUAUGUGAGUAUUAAUUUCCUUAAAUUUCAGCCAAUUUUGUACCCAUUUCGGUUUUGAAUUCUUCAUUUUUUUUGUGAACGUGGUUGUCCAUAUUUAGCUUUUUUACAUCUUAUACAUAAAUAUUAGGUAUUAAAUUGGGAUAUGACAACCAAAUUCACUUUUUGAUCUGUAAUUUGAAAAAAAAAUACUUACUUACUUACUCUGUGGGAGCCCCUGUGUAAUGCUAAUAUUAAAAUUUCCUCAAAUUCAAUUUAAUAAAAUCCCCCCCCCCCCAAAAAAGUCCUGACUGGACUGCAUAUUUUUCGACUUUUUGAAAUUUUUAAUAAUGGCUAAGAAAUUGGCAUCAUUAAAAUUAUAACAAAAUAUCGGCGCAGUUCCCCUAAAAUUUGGGCAAAAGCAGUCUGCAAAAUUCAAACAUAUUCCAUUACUUAUUAUCCAUCAUUUAUUAUGGUAAAUAGGAAAACGCAUUACGCAAUUUCAUAUUUUUAUUACAGAUUAAUUGUUCAAACGUUUUUCUUUAUUCGCCUAGUGCAUUGUCUUAUUAUUUUCGUUUCAUGCAGAGUCUGGUUUCUAAUAUCUCUGAAAACGAUCGACAGUCGGUCUUCCUGUAAUUACUUUUUCUUUCUUCGUUUUUUUAGAACCAAAAUAACGUAAAUGUUCGGCAAAAACGAAUAACGAGUUAAUAGUAACGAAUAACUUAUUUUAGGGCUCGUAAUUACAAAAAAAAAAAAAAAAAAAAACUACUUCCUACUAUCGCCGAAAGUGCAGUUUGAUACCCCCCAGGCUGUGUGGUAUUUUGAACUUAGUUUUAUUGUUUUUAACGUUAAAGUUCAGUAUUGCUUAUUAUAUAUUUCUAACACUAAAAGUAUGCAUCUGUUUAUCAGACGUAAAUACAUACGUAAUUAUCCGAAAGAUACACAGGUAUUAAAAUCAGAAAGCUAAAAAAAAAAAAAAAUGAAUAAUCAUUUGCGAGCAGUCGAUAACUCGACAGAAAAGUAAACGGAAAAUUAAGAUUGAGCAUUUUGAAUUUUUAACGACUACCUAUAGUUAUGAUCUGGAUAAUCAGAUUGUGAAGAAAUACUACCUAUUAUGAACGUCUGAUGUUGUAACCGUUAAAAAUCAGAAAUAAAAUUCUUGAUUUUUAUCAAGUAACAUUCUCGUUUUAUUAUUUUAAUUUCAAAGAUUUCGAGAAUUCUUGCUGUUUAAAGCACCAAUGGAUUCCGUCUUUUGUGUAAUAGAUACACGAGCUUCGUGCGUAAUAUGUGAAACAAUUAAACGGACAAAAAACAAAAUAAAAUAUGAAGUAGCUAUAACGAUAUGAAUCAAGUUUUCGACAGGGAUGAUAACUGAAAACAAUAACCAUUAAAGAAUAACUAUCAAUAAUCAAGUAGGUAGAUAUUUUACGAAAAUUUGUAACCAAGAAUGAUUUUUCAAAUAAGUAAGAACCAUAAAUGAUCCAUAACUUGUUUCUCACUUUUCAAUAUAAACAUUACUGAAUUCACUCUGUGGACAAAAAAAACAUGGAUUAGAAUGAUAUUUUUUUCGAAAAAAAGUUAUACCUACUGUCAUAAAAAAAACACUGAAGUGCCUUACCUGGUAGAGCUGUUCGACUGCAUUCUUCGCAAUAGUCCAGGAGAAUUGGGGUUCUAUAAGGAAUUUUGAGGGAGCAAGCUGAAAAUUGGUAUACUGGUCCUUUUUGAUGCCCUGAGUAAGGAUCUGAGGUGUCCGGGUGCGUCCGGUGUGAGCUUCCCCUUUUAUUGUGGAUCUUAGCCCCCCAAUUUCGGUUUUUGAAGAUUAUUUCCUCAAAUAUUGCCCGGAGCUUAAAAAUAGUUUAGUAAUAAAAGAAUCUGCAUGAAAUUUCCUUUCAGAUGAUCUAUCGAUCAUUUUCGUAACCCCAAAAGGGGGGUGGACCUACAGCUAUCCGAAUAACGUGUUCUCUUGAAAAAUGCUAUAAAUGCGAAGGGAGUUGGUUUUUAAACCAAUUUUUGAGUCCGAUGUAAGUAUGAAAACCAUGUUACACCCUUUACGGUGACAUUCUGAGUAACCAUGACCUCCCCUCCCUCCUCUCCCCCACAUUGAGGUGAUGCCCAUGUCGAAUGCGAGUGUUAGGGAAAGGGGUUAAAGAUAUUGAGAUUUCUAUAAGCAUCCAUUGUAAUGUGCACACAUCCCUACUACAUUGUACAGCGUAGUUUUCGAGCGCUUCCCCACAUGUGGACCCCCUGACCCCCUCCAAUUCAAUUUUUACCGUUUUCACCACAAAUACCAUAUUUUUUUGGGAAUUUUUUUCUCUGCAACUUUGAACAACGAAGAAUUUUUUACAUAAUGAACAUGACAGCUACCUCUCGCCCCUAGGACUGGAGGGGAGUGAACUUUUUUGGUAGGUAUACCAAAAGUAUAUGUGAGAAUGGCAUUUUCGUAAUCUUGAAGGUAGUUAUAUGAUUUUUCUCGAUUCUUAUGAAUGAAUGGAAUGCAGAUAUUUGGCAACAGAUGCAAGGAAGUUAGAAGUGAACCAUUCGCGACCCCUAUUGUGUGCAUAUCCAUCCCUUACGAGCGAAAAAAUUGUCUUUAUUCCUUCAUUUGUUUUGUUAAAGGAAAAAUUUCAUCUAUCAAAAAACUUCUAAAAAUACCAUACCUCAAAGAAGAGAUAGAUAAAUUUUAUGACAGAAAUGCAAAAUUGGAUGAAAUUGUACAAGCUGGCGAAAUCAUCACUGUUGCAUUGUAUGGCGGAAAACAGAAUGAAGACUUGAAUGAUUACAGAUUCAAAUGCUUUGCAAAAUCCCUGAAAAAGCAUGCAACUGUUUUGUCAUCAAUUCCUCCAACAAAAGCUGCGCUAGAACAACACAGUAAGCGUGUCUACUUUGAGGUUCAAAACGCAAUAGGUAACUCUUUAGAUCCGACAAAAUUUGGAUGGUAUACUGCAGUAAAUGGGAGAAUGCCUAUUUUGACAACCCUUCCUGCUGCACCUGACGGCAUUCUCCGAAAUAUAUUCUGUUCUUGCUUUUAUAAAUUUUGUCUCUGUGUAUGAGCCUUUCAGCAUUUGUCUCUUAUUGUUAUUGUGUUGUGGUUUGUGGUACUUCUCUAACUCCUCACCUCUAAAAAUAUGUACGUAACAUAAUUAUGUAUUUCAAUUGAAUUUUCAAUUAUCUUCACUUUUAAAAAUGAAAUAAAAUUCAAUACUGAAACAAAAAUAUAAAAAUUAAUGUUGGCUCCAUAUCCUACAAAAGUAGGGUAAAAAAGUAACGAAAAAUAUUUUUUUGGUACCACUUAUUUAUACCUACAAAACAAAGGGUAAAAAAGUAAAAAAAAUAUAUACGUUUUUAGCACCAUCGCCAAUGUAAAAAAGUAAAAAGAAAUAUGAAAGUGAAAAAAUAGGUUUUUGGCACCAUGUAUAAAAGUAAGGGUAAAAAAAUACUUAAAAAAUACGAAAACUGAAAUAAAUUGAUUUUUGGUUUUUGGUUUAUAGUUUUUUGGUACUUUUAUUUGGUUUUUUGAGUUUUUGGUUUCAGUUUUCAGUUUUUUUUCUGCCAAUUAGGUACCUAGUAUUAGUAUUAUUAAUUAUUGUAUUCACUUCUACUAAUCAAUUGAUGCAGAAAAGUCAAAACAUUAUACAUAUUUUGAUGAUACAAAUUUUAAUUUUUUUAUAUUUGGUUUUUGGUUAGUUGGUUUUGACUUUUGAUCAAAUAUUUUUUAUUUUUGAGUUUUGCACACCGCCGACAAUAAGAGACAAAUGCUGAAAUGCUCAUACACAGAGACGAAAUUUAUAAAAAAAAAAUAAAAACAAAAAACGUAAUGUAAAACACACGACAACACAUCCACACACGCACCACACUCGAAAAACUCCAAGUCCAGAAAAAAAAUUCCGCUCCAACCGGCCAUCUGUAACAAAACAGACGCUCGUGAAUUACGCCUUUAUACCUCCCUCCUUGUAACAUUGGUGAUUGUGAACUUGUGAAGAUGUUACCCUAAUCCUUAACUUGUCUGGUCAAGUUACUUGGCAAUCGGUUGAUGUUGAUUGUCCUUGCUACAAAUUAAAAAAUUAUUCAUCAACAGUGUAUUAAAAAAAAAAAAAAUGCCUUACUCUGUUUGAAGGAUCUUGCUCUAAAAUCCGAUGCUGAGAAGUAUUGCUGAGUAACCUGCACGUGUUCUGAAAGUAAUAAAAAUGUGGUUAGUAGACGCCUAGUAGUGUGGCGUGCUAGAAUUUGGGAAAAAGCAGUCUGCAGAAUUCAAACAUAAUAUUCCAUUACAGUUACAAAAGCUUACGCAUCAUUUCUUAUGGUAAAAAUAGGAAAACGCAUUACGCAUACCUAAUGCUACUCAUAUUUAUUACAGACUGUUUUCACACGUUUUUCUUUUUUCGCCUUGCUGUAAACAGUACAUUGUCUCCUUAUUUUCGUUUCAUGCAGAGUGUGGGUUCUAAUACCUUUGAAAACGGUAGCCAGUCUUCCUACAGUUAUUUUUUUCUUUCUUCGUUUUUUUGGAACCGAAAUAACCUAAAUGUUAGGUAAAAACGAAUAAUGACUUGAUAAAUACUUAAUGAAUGACUUAUUUCAGAGCUCGUAAUUACAAAAAAAAAAAACAAAAACAAAAAACUAUUCUUACUAUGUAUGUACAAUCUACUAUAUUGCCGAAAGUGCACUU
Long non-coding RNA from Planococcus citri (citrus mealybug), 8273 nucleotides. RefSeq lists it as uncharacterized. The record is from RefSeq and is a predicted model, not a curated record. The transcript is spliced from 2 exons. NCBI's taxonomy places the organism in Eukaryota, Metazoa, Arthropoda, Insecta, Hemiptera, Pseudococcidae.